UAUCUCUCCGUACGGGGAAGGAUGAGAAGCUUCGACUAAGGUUCGAUUCGAGCGAAAGCGAGAAAGCGUUGCCAACGGCAACGACCCGGAGGGCGAAGCGCGCAGCGCUGAGUAAUCCUUCCCCCACCACCA
RNAcentral lists this small RNA (132 nucleotides) under Salmonella enterica. RNAcentral's name for it is "RtT sRNA". It matches the Rfam family "RtT RNA". Rfam says of the family: This family represents a bacterial cis-regulatory element known as RtT RNA. The exact function of RtT is unknown although it is thought that it may be involved in changing the cellular response in relation to amino acid starvation. The record is from RNAcentral. RNAcentral also lists the same sequence under 1 other name. Lineage: Bacteria; Pseudomonadati; Pseudomonadota; Gammaproteobacteria; Enterobacterales; Enterobacteriaceae.